RNAcentral lists this ribosomal RNA (559 nucleotides) under uncultured archaeon. Its description in RNAcentral is "partial 16S ribosomal RNA". It matches the Rfam family "Archaeal small subunit ribosomal RNA", at positions 326 to 883 of the family's 1478-position model. The record is from RNAcentral. RNAcentral also lists the same sequence under 1 other name.
CGGGGUGCAGCAGGCGGGAACCCUUUACACUGCCCGACAGUGCGAUAGGGGGAUCCCAAGUGCGGAGGCAAUAGCGCCUUUGCUUUGGUGCGCCCUACGGGGGUGCACGAAUAAGGACUGGGCAAGACCGAUGCCAGCCGCCGCGGUAAUACCGGCAGCCCGAGUGAUGGCCGAUCUUAUUGGGCCUAAAGCGUCCGUAGCUGGCCGCGCAAGUCCAUCGGGAAAUCCACCCGCUCAACGGGUGGGCGUCCGGUAGAAACUGCGUGGCUUGGGACCGGAAGACGCGAGGGGUACGUCCGGGGUAGGAGUGAAAUCCCGUAAUCCUCGGCGACCGCGGGGGGGGGGGGGGGGGGGGGGGGGGGGGGGGGGCGGGGGGGGGGGGGGGGGGGGGGGGGGGGGCGGGUUGGGAGCCCGGGGCGUCUGAGGCCUAAACCAUGGCCGGUUAGGUGGGCCCCCCCCUACAAUGGGUUGUUGUGCCUAAGGAAAGCGGCUAACCAGGCCGCUGGGAAAUUCCUUCCGCAAGGAUAAACUUAAAAGGAUUUGGCGGGGAACAAAAGUU